This 207-nucleotide long non-coding RNA is filed under the name Elaeis guineensis (African oil palm). RNAcentral's name for it is "long non-coding RNA (EGUI_LNC044660)". Lineage: Eukaryota; Viridiplantae; Streptophyta; Magnoliopsida; Arecales; Arecaceae. The record is from RNAcentral.
CUGAACUCGUCAUUUAUGGAGGCCCGCAUAAUGCAACAAAUCAUGGUGCGAUCAUUGAGCCACUUCAAAUAAGUGUCUCAGACCACACCUCGAGCAUUGGGAGCAGGCUCCUUAUGUGUCGGAUCCGUAAUCACAUACAGGAUCCACUCGUGCUCUAGGAUGAUCUUUAACUUUCAAUACCAAUUAUCGAAAUUGAGUCCCGUCAAC